This is a long non-coding RNA of Hibiscus syriacus, 596 nucleotides long. RefSeq lists it as uncharacterized. The record is from RefSeq and is a predicted model, not a curated record. NCBI's taxonomy places the organism in Eukaryota, Viridiplantae, Streptophyta, Magnoliopsida, Malvales, Malvaceae. The transcript has 2 exons.
CCCUAUUCCCAGCCGUUCUUCCCCUUUUCUCUCUAUCCUCUUCUCUUCGUGAUACCCCCUCCCCGUCGAGCAAAGCAAUCAAAGCCCAGGCCACCGUAAAUCGGUGGCCACGGGUUAAAACAGUCGGUGAGAACCUCCUAAAACCCAACUCCUUACCACUGAGCCCCUAAAUCCAUCCCCAAAAUCAACGAAAAUCAAAACCUAGCUUCAAAGGUAUGAUCUUUACCUUCGGUUGUGGCUUUUAAGGCUCUGGUGAAGUUACCAAAGGUCGGAUCUUCUCUAAAGGUUGAUGACGACGGCGGCUCGGGAUGUCUCGGCGGCGGCUCACGCGCCGAUCUGGAGGAGCGCAUGCAUCACACGUGCCGACGAGGGCUGUUCAACUUCACUGGCGGCAGCCGUUGAUGAUUUUAGGGUUUAAAACUCUAAUUUGAAUGGGUUCUCUUGUUGGGCUCGGGUCGGAUUUGACCGGGUUUGGGUCAACAGCUGGGUCUUGGGAGAUAGCUAGUGGGCUUGAAUGUUGUAAUUGGGCUUCUGUUGUAAUCUAUUUGGGCUUAUAGUGGCCUGCAAAAGUUGUAAAUUAUAUUUUCUCCACUUGA